Long non-coding RNA from Odontomachus brunneus, 2370 nucleotides. RefSeq lists it as uncharacterized. NCBI's taxonomy places the organism in Eukaryota, Metazoa, Arthropoda, Insecta, Hymenoptera, Formicidae. The transcript has 3 exons. The record is from RefSeq and is a predicted model, not a curated record.
AAGAACAAACAUACGACGCCAAAGUAUGUUUAUCGUCGCGUUAAUUACAAUCCCCGAGCGACUAAAAUAUUUCGUCGGUAACAUGAAAUAUUUUAUCGGGCUGUCGUCGGGGAGGCAUCGCGUUAAUUAACACGCUUUUCUUCGUUCCGGAGUGUCAGUGCCAGAAGCACGCCAGAAGAAGGACGUUGAAUUGGGAAGCCGAAUUGGGAACGAUCGACGUAGGAUGCUAAUAAUUGAGCAUGUGCACGUGACACAGUCGAUUGUUGCGUAAAGAGUGGAGGAGAGGAGGGAUAGAUAUAGGCAGCUGGGAGAAUGGAUUAAAUGUACAUUCGAAAUUUCGAUUAAACGGGAUUUCGAUACACAUAGGAAACAUGUCCCGGAGGGAAAUUUACUGAGUGUAGUAGCCGGAUGACGAUGUCUGGCGUGUGGAGCAGUUUUCGCAUUUCGACCAAUGCGGGGUGUCGUUGGCCGGUCGCGUCGAGCCGAGAAGCAGGGCAGGUCGAGCAGUGUAACCUAUAUUCCACGCUAGACUGAGAAUCGGUCCCGGCGCCUGCGACAGACAGCGGUGAGAAGGAGCGGAAGGAAGGGGAGCGACACGGAGAUGAGGCACUGGAGGAGGAUCGAGAAGAAAUGUAGAAAGCCUGAAAAAAACCAAAGAAUAUCAAUAUGCGGGCGAAGUAAAACAGAAUCGAAAUGAGACAGUGAAACGUCGCUUUGACGGUACGCCGAUCAAAGCGCGAGACGGUAGACGCGAAAAUCUUUUUGUACGGAAUUCAUCUUCGUCGAACGUUCCGCUGGAUUAUCGCCGCAGUCUGCCGGAACCAUCGCUCGGAAAAAUGCCGGACCCUUUGAAACGCGAAUUAAGAACCCGAAGAGGCGACGGAUAGUUAACGUUAGCCGAAUCUAACGAGUGCACACACAUUAUAUCUCUUUUUAGCUUCUUCUAAGUUAUUUUUUGCUUAUCCUAUCUCUUUUUCUUUUUUUUUUAAUAUUUAAUUACUGCGGCCACACGUCGAACGGCUAACGACGUCGCGAGAAGCGUCUUUCUAUCUCGCUAUUAUCCUCUUGGCUCGCUUUGUGUCGGCGCGGUAGCGCCAAGAGAAUCACAAACUUAAUACUCUCUCUUUGAAGUUGAAAUUCUUCCAUUUGUCAGACGCCAAUCCGUACGAUUUCACGUACGUGGCUUUGUAAACAUUUUCCUUCUUGAAGCCGAGACGCUCUUUUGUUAACGGACUUUGUCUUUCGCUUUGUCUAAUGCACUGUCUAAUUACAGAUGGGGGGCAAAGGGGCAGAGGAGAGAUGCAGUAGAAAGUUUAUAAAGAAUUUUAUAUAACAUAGAGACGAUUGAUAUAAGUAGAAGAAAAGAUCUGACGUAAAUCAACGCCGAAGUAGCUUUGCGAUUCCCCCAGAGUUUCUGUUUUCUUGUUGUUUCUUGUUACUUCUUUGUUCCAACUUUGUGGUUUUCUGAGAUUUAGUCUUGUAUCGCGUGCGAAUUAUGCAAAUGUGAGUCAGAAAAAAUAACAGCCGACUUAUCGAGAUCUUUUGUAACCCAUUAGUAAUUCAAUCUAUCGAUAUAUUAUGAUUUGAUGAAUUCAACAAUAGUUGCUAUUUUACAUAGUAUGAUAAACCGCUUUAUUGCACGGGAGAUUAACAUUUCAGCUCGUGGUGCUAUCUAUUAUACAACGUGUGAAUCCGGCAGUGCAUGCCUGCGUUUACUGUUAGCGCUACUGCAUCUAUUGGAUAAUUAUUUAUGUCUCUAGGGACACGACGCCCAUUCUAUUCUAAGUUCGACCACUGUGAUGUACCUUCAGUUCUGCGGAUGCCUUACCGUACAAUAGAUCUAUAGUUACUACAAAUUUUCGACCAGCCACAUUAGUGUGUAGCUACGCGUUUCCCCUCGCUGUUAAUUAACCCAGGAAACGCGUUUCCGCAUUCUGGAUUAAUUAACAGUGAUGAGAAGCGCGUAACUAAAAAUAUGACCGAUAAAAAAUUGUAGAUCGAAAACUGUAAUUAUAAAUCAUGAAGCAAUCGCGGACUGAGUGUACACAUCUUGUUAACAGACGCUACAGUAGUACUCCGAGAUGUUACAUUGCGAAUAUUUCCAACGUCGUUUUUUCUUUUUCUUUGAUCAUCGCAUUUCUAAUUUUCCGCUAAUAAAUCCGAGAAUCGUUCGAUUUUAUGAGCAGUAGUAAUAGUCGUUAUUUGAAACUUGUGUCAGAUGAAAUAUUUAUAUAUGAAUUUAGUGUUAGAUGUAAAUCUUUCAGUUAAAUCGCGAUUGUAAAUAUAAUGUCGCAUGUAUUGUGAUUCAAGUAAAAAAUUCAAAUUGCUCGAUUUUAUGAGCAGUAGUAAUAGUUCUUACUUGAAACUUGU